UUCUUCUCUACUUCUGUGUUCUGCCACGAGGUGGAACCUGCAGCCCAGUCAGGUUGCACAGGCAGUCCAGCUCCCCAGGAUGAAGGUUUGCUGCGUCUCCCAGCACAGUCUCAGCCUCAGGAGCAGGGAGGAGACGCCAGGAGGCCGGCCAUUACACCAGGAAGGCUGGACAGGACUGCGGGAGGUCAUCAACCCAGCAGCACCCCAGUCCUGCUGGGGGUCAAAAAUGUCCUUCCUAUCUACUAUUCCCAUCUUCUAUUCCUUGACCUCAGUGGGAAAGGUCAUGAGGUCAAGGAAAGGUGUCAAGGAGGACUGAUAGGACUUAGGAAAAGCCGACAGCUGCUCAGAGAAUCUGACUCCACUUUCACUAAACUACGUCGUCAUGUCACAGAGGAUGUUGUUGAUGCGUCUGUCGUGGUGAAACUACACGUUUCAGAAGAUGAACUACAAAAACCUCAGCGGCUCCAUCAGCAUGUUUUAGUGUUUUACCACCAUGUGACGUCAUAUGUAACAGUAACUGACAUCUGGGUCAUAUUCAUACUCUUCUUCUUCUACUUCGGAUUGAAUUGUUUACGUUCGUGCAUACAGUUUAUGCGCGUCAUGUUAAAUAUCGCCGCCACAAUGAAUUGUGGGGCGUCUAUAUCUCUUCACUCUCACAAACGAAGCUCCAGUGUACCCUAUGCUAAAGGAGAUAGGAAAGGAAGCAUUGAAUCUCCUUUCCUAAACACUACAAGAGCGAGCGAACACCAGAAUUGGCAGGUUGGCCGUUGGCGCCUCGCCCUCACACUGAGAGCAUGUGACAGGCGUGAAAGAGUCUGGAGUCGCUGUGGUGAUAGUCAUGCUGCCUGUAGCAUCAUCCAGCAUGAGCGGUCUGGUGGUGGGCUAGUGGUGCUGGAGCUGGACUACCUGUGCCUUGUGGUUGUCCUGCUGUUGCUGUCAUUAACACCACAGCAGGUGGAAUUGAUUCACAAUCACUUCCUGGUCAGUUCCAUAUCCCAGAAGUAUAUUUGA
RNAcentral lists this long non-coding RNA (1011 nucleotides) under Scophthalmus maximus (turbot). RNAcentral describes it as "lncRNA (ENSSMAG00000033138.1)". The record is from RNAcentral. Lineage: Eukaryota; Metazoa; Chordata; Actinopteri; Pleuronectiformes; Scophthalmidae.